UUUCCGUAGGUGAACCUGCGGAAGGAUCAUUACAGAGUUCAUGCCCUCACGGGUAGAUCUCCCACCCUUGAAUAUUUAUACCUUAGUUGCUUUGGCAGGCCGUGGAAACACCAUGGGCUCCGGCUUAUGCGUGCCUGCCAGAGGAAACAAACUCUGUGUUUAGUGAUGUCUGAGUACUAUAUAAUAGUUAAAACUCUCAACAACGGAUCUCUUGGUUCUG
Molecule: unclassified non-coding RNA, 220 nt
Filed under: plant metagenome
Description: partial contains small subunit ribosomal RNA, internal transcribed spacer 1, and 5.8S ribosomal RNA
Source: RNAcentral